UACCAGCACCCCGAGUGGUCGGGACGUUUAUUGGGCCUAAAGCAUCCGUAGCCGGUUCUACAAGUCUUCCGUUAAAUCCAACUGCUUAACAGGUGGGCUGCGGAAGAUACUAUAGAGCUAGGAGGCGGGAGAGGCAAGCGGUACUCGAUGGGUAGGGGUAAAAUCCGUUGAUCCAUUGAAGACCACCAGUGGCGAAGGCGGCUUGCCAGAACGCGCUCGACGGUGAGGGAUGAAAGCUGGGGGGGCAAACCGG
Molecule: ribosomal RNA, 253 nt
Filed under: uncultured bacterium
Lineage: Bacteria
Description: partial 16S ribosomal RNA
Rfam family: Archaeal small subunit ribosomal RNA
Source: RNAcentral